GACGAACGCUGGCGGCGUGCCUAAAACAUGCAAGUCGAACGAGGGUAGUAAUACCUUAGUGGCGAACGGCGGAGUAAUACAUAAGCAACGUGCCCCGAAGACUGGGAUAUACAGCCGAAAGGCUGGGCAAUACCGGAUGUGACGAGAGGAUGGCAUCAUCUUCUCAUUAAACAGUUUUUUGCUUCGGGAGCGGCUUAUGGCCUAUCAGGUAGUUGGUGAGGCAAUGGCUCACCAAGCCGACGACGGGUAGCGGGUCUGAGAGGAUGGUCCGCUCGAGUGGGACUGAGACACGGCCCACACACCUACGGGUGGCAGCAGUUGGGAAUCUUGCACAAUGGGGGAAACCCUGAUGCAGCGACGCCGCGUGGAGGAUGAAGGGUCUAGCCUGUAAACUCCUUUUAUGGGGAAAGACUUAGGACGGUACCCCAUGAAUAAGGACCGGCUAACUACGUGCCAGCAG
Molecule: ribosomal RNA, 460 nt
Filed under: uncultured bacterium
Lineage: Bacteria
Description: bacterial SSU rRNA
Rfam family: Bacterial small subunit ribosomal RNA
Source: RNAcentral